GAUGAACGCUGGCGGCGUGCCUAACACAUGCAAGUCGAACGGACUUACAUUGAAGCCUAGCGAUAUGUAAGUUAGUGGCGGACGGGUGAGUAACGCGUGGGUAACCUGCCUUGUACUGGGGGACAACAGUUGGAAACGACUGCUAAUACCGCAUAAGCGCACAGCUUCGCAUGAAGCAGUGUGAAAAACUCCGGUGGUACAAGAUGGACCCGCGUCUGAUUAGCUGGUUGGUGAGGUAACGGCCCACCAAGGCGACGAUCAGUAGCCGGCCGGAGAGGGUGAACGGCCACAUUGGGACUGAUACACGGCCCAAACUCCUACGGGAGGCAGCAGUGGGGAAUAUUGCACAAUGGGGGAAACCCUUAUGCAGCAACGCCGCGUGAGUGAAGAAGUAUUUCGGUAUGUAAAGCUCUAUCAGCAGGAAAGAAAAUGACGGUACCUGACUAAGAAGCCCCGGCUAACUACGUGCCAGCAGCCGCCGUAA
RNAcentral lists this ribosomal RNA (484 nucleotides) under uncultured bacterium. RNAcentral's name for it is "partial 16S ribosomal RNA". It matches the Rfam family "Bacterial small subunit ribosomal RNA", at positions 28 to 523 of the family's 1533-position model. The record is from RNAcentral.